CUCGAGUAAAUUGGCCUCUGGUGCCAGAGAAAACAGUCUUUGGGUUCAGCAGGUCCCGAGGCAAAGAAACUUUAUUACGUUUUGGGCAGUAUCUAUCAAACACUGCCAGGUGCAGUGCUAUAUGCCUAACCUGAAUCUUCCCGGCAGAUGGGGGCCUAAACUCGAAAGCAUGCAGCUGAGGAUGAAGGCCAUGAUAGUCUGUUUUUCAUCAAAGGCUUGAGAUCACAGCAGCAGCAUGGAGCUGGAAGAACAAAAGAAGUUUGGGGCUCUGAAACAAACUGGGAGGGUAAGACAAAAGUGCAGCUGAAGAACUUGGAGAGCCGCUUGAGAAGGAGGAAAAGAUCAGGGAAGGAGGAAGUACACGUCCCCAUGCAGGGGAUGUGGAGUUGCACUCUCAUCUUGUGUGCUGCAGGAAGAGCAUCCAGCUCCAAAGCUUAUACACCAUGGGCAAGACGAAGGAAAAUUCCAGUUCUGAAUUUGCAGCCAGAAUUCAGGAACCAGAGGAAGGCGCUCAGGAGGUCAUACCUUUCAGAAGAGGUGCUCCAGCCCUUAUGGUCACGUUGAUGAGGUGCUGAUGGAGAGGUGGCCAUGUCACACUGCUGCCUGGGCCAGGAGCAUCCUACAGGUAUAGUCAGAAGCAAAGCUGUCUGUCCACCUGUUGACUUCACCAGCUUGUAGGAUCUGAGGGCUGUAGCCAUGAUCAGCAGCAAUGCUUUCCCCCAUGGGUAUGAGCAGGUGCAAGGGACAGCAGCUGCUACCCUUGGUAGGUACCAGACGUGAGAUCGGGGUUUUGGAUCCAAGCAUCCUUAGGAUUUCCUUCAUGAGCACUUUUGCAAGACCAUCCUACUUCAAGGCACUUCGAUGCAACCUGCCCUG
This 876-nucleotide long non-coding RNA is filed under the name Gallus gallus (chicken). RNAcentral's name for it is "long non-coding RNA NONGGAT006912". Lineage: Eukaryota; Metazoa; Chordata; Aves; Galliformes; Phasianidae. The record is from RNAcentral.